UGUGAGCUCGAUGAGUAGGGCGGGACACGUGGUAUCCUGUCUGAAUAUGGGGGGACCAUCCUCCAAGGCUAAAUACUCCUGACUGACCGAUAGUGAACCAGUACCGUGAGGGAAAGGCGAAAAGAACCCCGGCGAGGGGAGUGAAAAAGAACCUGAAACCGUGUACGUACAAGCAGUGGGAGCCUCUUAAUGGGGUGACUGCGUACCUUUUGUAUAAUGGGUCAGCGACUUAUAUUCUGUAGCAAGGUUAACCGAAUAGGGGAGCCGAAGGGAAACCGAGUCUUAACUGGGCGUUAAGUUGCAGGGUAUAGACCCGAAACCCGGUGAUCUAGCCAUGGGCAGGUUGAAGGUUGGGUAACACUAACUGGAGGACCGAACCGACUAAUGUUGAAAAAUUAGCGGAUGACUUGUGGCUGGGGGUGAAAGGCCAAUCAAACCGGGAGAUAGCUGGUUCUCCCCGAAAGCUAUUUAGGUAGCGCCUCGUGAAUUCAUCUCCGGGGGUAGAGCACUGUUUCGGCAAGGGGGUCAUCCCGACUUACCAACCCGAUGCAAACUGCGAAUACCGGAGAAUGUUAUCACGGGAGACACACGGCGGGUGCUAACGUCCGUCGUGAAGAGGGAAACAACCCAGACCGCCAGCUAAGGUCCCAAAGUCAUGGUUAAGUGGGAAACGAUGUGGGAAGGCCCAGACAGCCAGGAUGUUGGCUUAGAAGCAGCCAUCAUUUAAAGAAAGCGUAAUAGCUCACUGGUCGAGUCGGCCUGCGCGGAAGAUGUAACGGGGCUAAACCAUGCACCGAAGCUGCGGCAGCGACACUAUGUGUUGUUGGGUAGGGGAGCGUUCUGUAAGCCUGUGAAGGUGGCCUGUGAGGGUUGCUGGAGGUAUCAGAAGUGCGAAUGCUGACAUAAGUAACGAUAAAGCGGGUGAAAAGCCCGCUCGCCGGAAGACCAAGGGUUCCUGUCCAACGUUAAUCGGGGCAGGGUGAGUCGACCCCUAAGGCGAGGCCGAAAGGCGUAGUCGAUGGGAAACAGGUUAAUAUUCCUGUACUUGGUGUUACUGCGAAGGGGGGACGGAGAAGGCUAUGUUGGCCGGGCGACGGUUGUCCCGGUUUAAGCGUGUAGGCUGGUUUUCCAGGCAAAUCCGGAAAAUCAAGGCUGAGGCGUGAUGACGAGGCACUACGGUGCUGAAGCGACAAAUGCCCUGCUUCCAGGAAAAGCCUCUAAGCAUCAGGUAACAUCAAAUCGUACCCCAAACCGACACAGGUGGUCAGGUAGAGAAUACCAAGGCGCUUGAGAGAACUCGGGUGAAGGAACUAGGCAAAAUGGUGCCGUAACUUCGGGAGAAGGCACGCUGAUAUGUAGGUGAAGCGACUUGCUCGUGGAGCUGAAAUCAGUCGAAGAUACCAGCUGGCUGCAACUGUUUAUUAAAAACACAGCACUGUGCAAACACGAAAGUGGACGUAUACGGUGUGACGCCUGCCCGGUGCCGGAAGGUUAAUUGAUGGGGUUAGCGGUAACGCGAAGCUCUUGAUCGAAGCCCCGGUAAACGGCGGCCGUAACUAUAACGGUCCUAAGGUAGCGAAAUUCCUUGUCGGGUAAGUUCCGACCUGCACGAAUGGCGUAAUGAUGGCCAGGCUGUCUCCACCCGAGACUCAGUGAAAUUGAACUCGCUGUGAAGAUGCAGUGUACCCGCGGCAAGACGGAAAGACCCCGUGAACCUUUACUAUAGCUUGACACUGAACAUUGAGCCUUGAUGUGUAGGAUAGGUGGGAGGCUUUGAAGUGUGGACGCCAGUCUGCAUGGAGCCGACCUUGAAAUACCACCCUUUAAUGUUUGAUGUUCUAACGUGGGCCCCUUACCGGGGUUGCGGACAGUGUCUGGUGGGUAGUUUGACUGGGGCGGUCUCCUCCUAAAGAGUAACGGAGGAGCACGAAGGUUGGCUAAUCCUGGUCGGACAUCAGGAGGUUAGUGCAAUGGCAUAAGCCAGCUUGACUGCGAGCGUGACGGCGCGAGCAGGUGCGAAAGCAGGUCAUAGUGAUCCGGUGGUUCUGAAUGGAAGGGCCAUCGCUCAACGGAUAAAAGGUACUCCGGGGAUAACAGGCUGAUACCGCCCAAGAGUUCAUAUCGACGGCGGUGUUUGGCACCUCGAUGUCGGCUCAUCACAUCCUGGGGCUGAAGUAGGUCCCAAGGGUAUGGCUGUUCGCCAUUUAAAGUGGUACGCGAGCUGGGUUUAGAACGUCGUGAGACAGUUCGGUCCCUAUCUGCCGUGGGCGCUGGAGAACUGAGGGGGGCUGCUCCUAGUACGAGAGGACCGGAGUGGACGCAUCACUGGUGUUCGGGUUGUCAUGCCAAUGGCACUGCCCGGUAGCUAAAUGCGGAAGAGAUAAGUGCUGAAAGCAUCUAAGCACGAAACUUGCCCCGAGAUGAGUUCUCCCUGACUCCUUGAGAGUCCUGAAGGAACGUUGAAGACGACGACGUUGAUAGGCCGGGUGUGUAAGCGCAGCGAUGCGUUGAGCUAACCGGUACUAAUGAACCGUGAGGCUUAACCUUACAACGCCGAAG
This 2559-nucleotide ribosomal RNA is filed under the name Escherichia coli UCI 52. RNAcentral describes it as "partial 23S ribosomal RNA". It matches the Rfam family "Bacterial large subunit ribosomal RNA", at positions 398 to 2925 of the family's 2925-position model. Lineage: Bacteria; Pseudomonadati; Pseudomonadota; Gammaproteobacteria; Enterobacterales; Enterobacteriaceae. The record is from RNAcentral.